GACGAACGCUGGCGGCGUGCUUAACACAUGCAAGUCGAGCGGUAAGGCCCUUUCGGGGGUACACGAGCGGCGAACGGGUGAGUAACACGUGGGUGACCUGCCCUCAGCUCUGGGAUAAGCCUGGGAAACCGGGUCUAAUACUGGAUAUGACUCCAUGACGCAUGUUGUGGGGUGGAAAGCCUUGUGCGGCUGAGGAUGGGCCCGCGGCCUAUCAGCUUGUUGGUGGGGUGAGGCCUACCAAGGCGACGACGGGUAGCCGGCCUGAGAGGGCGACCGGCCACACUGGGACUGAGACACGGCCCAGACUCCUACGGGAGGCAGCAGUGGGGAAUCUUGCGCAAUGGGCGAAAGCCUGACGCAGCGACGCCGCGUGA
RNAcentral lists this ribosomal RNA (374 nucleotides) under uncultured bacterium. RNAcentral describes it as "bacterial SSU rRNA". It matches the Rfam family "Bacterial small subunit ribosomal RNA", at positions 28 to 404 of the family's 1533-position model. The record is from RNAcentral.